AUACCCUGGUAGUCCACGCCCUAAACGAUGUCAACUAGUUGUUGGGUCUUCAUUGACUUAGUAACGUAGCUAACGCGUGAAGUUGACCGCCUGGGGAGUACGGUCGCAAGAUUAAAACUCAAAGGAAUUGACGGGGACCCGCACAAGCGGUGGAUGAUGUGGAUUAAUUUGAUGCAACGCGAAAAACCUUACCUACCCUUGACAUGUAUGGAAGUCUGCCGAGAGGUGGAUGUUCCUGAAAGGGAGCCAUAACACAGGUGUUGCAUGGCUGUAGUCAGCUCGUGUCGUGAGAUGUUGGGUUAAGUCCCGCAACGAGCGCAACCCUUGUCCCUAGUUGAUACGCAAGAGCACUCCAGGGAGACAUCCGGUGACAAACCGGAGGAAGGUGGGGAUGACGUCAAGUCCUCAUGGCCGUUAUGGGUAGGCCUUCACACGUCAUACAAUGGUGGGAACAGAGGGUUGCCAAGCCCCGAGGUGGAGCCAAUCCCAGAAAACCGAUCGUAGUCCGGAUCGCACUUUGCAACUCGAGUGCGUGAAGCUGGAAUCGCUAGUAAUUGCGGAUCAGCAUGCCGCGGUGAAUACGUUCCCGGGUCUUGUACACACCGCCCGUCACACCAUGGGACUGGGUUUCACCAGAAGUAGGUAGCCUA
This 650-nucleotide ribosomal RNA is filed under the name Burkholderia sp. AD28. RNAcentral describes it as "bacterial SSU rRNA". It matches the Rfam family "Bacterial small subunit ribosomal RNA", at positions 782 to 1437 of the family's 1533-position model. Lineage: Bacteria; Pseudomonadati; Pseudomonadota; Betaproteobacteria; Burkholderiales; Burkholderiaceae. The record is from RNAcentral.